RNAcentral lists this ribosomal RNA (918 nucleotides) under Triticum aestivum (bread wheat). Its description in RNAcentral is "partial small subunit ribosomal RNA". Lineage: Eukaryota; Viridiplantae; Streptophyta; Magnoliopsida; Poales; Poaceae. The record is from RNAcentral.
AUGGACGGUUGCUGGCGGCUCCCCGGAGGCCACGGCGGCGGCGCCGCCGGCCGCGUCGUCCGCGUGCACUUCCUCGACGCGGAUGCCACCGACGACUCCGACGAGGAGACGAACCAGCCUCAGCGACGCGGCGCGCGACGGUGCGUGCGGGAGAUCGGACUGCCGCGCGCGUUCUCUCGUCUUCCGUCCGCCGCGGCGGGUGCGGUGAGCAGCUCCUCCCACUGGACGCGCGACAAGAGGUUGAGGGCGGCCGCGGCCGGCAAGAAGCGCACGUUGGUGGCGUGCGGCGGGGAUGAUUGGUCCGCGGGGACUUGGUCGGCCCGGCAAUUGCGCGGCGUGCGGCGCCGGCCCUGGGGCAAGUAUGCGGCGGAGAUCCGCGACCCGAAGCUGGGGCGGCGCGUCUGGCUUGGCACCUUCAACACCGCCGAGGAGGCCAAGUCCGUCUAUGACUCCGCCGUGCUCCGCCUCCGCGGCCCGAGCGCAGUCAUGAAGUACACCGCCCCCUCCCCCUCGCCGCCCCUCUCCACCGUGACGGCGUCCGCGCCGUCGCCGUCGACAUCCGCGGCCUCUCCCCCGUCGCCCUCCACCACGGCGGCCCCUCCUCCGUCGCCCUUCGGCAGGGCGGCCUCUCCCCCGUCACCCUCCACCACGGCGACCUCUGCCCCGUCCCCCAUCACCACGGCGGCCUCCCCCCCGUCGCCCUCCCAGUCGGCGACCACCAGCUGGUCCUUGGUGAACGCGGACGAGGAGGUGACGGCAGCGUUCGGCCUGGGACUCGUCGACGAGGAAACCUCCCUGAACAACCUGAUGCAGUUCUGCCUCCCCGCGGCGUGCAGCAGCAGGUGGGACCCCUCGGCGGACUUCGUGGAGCUGGCGGACCUCGACGACCUCUUCGCGCCGGAGCCCCUGGCGGCCUGA